Molecule: ribosomal RNA, 413 nt
Filed under: uncultured bacterium
Lineage: Bacteria
Description: bacterial SSU rRNA
Rfam family: Bacterial small subunit ribosomal RNA
Source: RNAcentral
AACGAACGCUGGCGGCAGGCUUAACACAUGCAAGUCGAACGCCCCGCAAGGGGAGUGGCAGACGGGUGAGUAACGCGUGGGAAUGUGCCCAAAGGUUCGGAACAACUCCGGGAAACUGGAGCUAAUACCGAAUGUGACCGAGAGGUGAAAGAUUUAUCGCCUUUGGAUCAGCCCGCGUCAGAUUAGCUAGUUGGUGGGGUAAUGGCCUACCAAGGCGACGAUCUGUAGCUGGUCUGAGAGGACGACCAGCCACACUGGGACUGAGACACGGCCCAGACUCCUACGGGAGGCAGCAGUGGGGAAUCUUGGACAAUGGGCGAAAGCCUGAUCCAGCCAUGCCGCGUGGAUGAUGAAGGCCUUAGGGUUGUAAAAUCCUUUCGUCGGGACGAUAGUGACGGUACCCGAAGAAGAAG